CUAAUACACGCACGUCCUCGAACUCCUCUACCCACACGGCCAUACAGUUCUAGACAGCGACCACACGACAUUCCUCAUCUUAAGACUUAAAUUCAACCUCUGUUGUAAAGACUUGGAACAUGUCUUGACCCGAAAUGUGUUGACCCACAAAAGUCCAUGAGGUAGUCUCCUCGUCAAGAAGGUACCCCAGGUCGUCGCAAAGGUCAGCGUCCAUAUGCAUAACAGACUUUGAUACAUGAGGAGGAACGCUGCUCGGUCUGCUGUUCUCGUUUCCGAGGGGGAACGUUCGAGCUGCCAUCGCCGCCGUAGAAGAAGCGUCGUCAUGCUUCUCUAGUGUUAGAAUGAUUCUAGGACAAGGACCCGCCCAAUCACCGGCAGCUGGUGUUGGUGGUGGUGGUCAUCGGCCGCCGGCUUCACCUGGUCGCGCCGCCGGCUUAGCCCCCGCUUCACCUGGUCGCGACGCCGCCACCCGCCAUCUUAACCCCCGUUUAACCUGGUCGCACCGCCGCCACCUGCCGCCUUAGCCCCCGUUUCACCUGGUCGCGUUGCCGCCACCCACCGCCUCCGGGACGAGCACCCAUCCGUCGCCUCCAGGAGGACCCGCCCGAGCAGCCGCCGCGUACCGGACAACACCCGCCGGAGGACCCGCCCGAGCAGCCGUCUCGUCCUGGACGAGCCCGUUGCCCGCCGACCGGUACCGCGGCGCGCCCGCUGCCUGCCUCCUCCUUCUUGCUCUACCCCUGAUUAAACAGACUCGAAAUCUUCAAGUUCCCGAAAAGGCGUUUUUGUAGUGACAUGACGCGCACGCUGUACAAAAACAAAAAGUCCUGCCUCCCUCAUGAUUCCAUGUGCACGUAACGUGCGUACUCUAAGCCGUUGGUUUAAUACUUAUUUAUGG
This 898-nucleotide ribosomal RNA is filed under the name Triticum aestivum (bread wheat). Its description in RNAcentral is "partial small subunit ribosomal RNA". Lineage: Eukaryota; Viridiplantae; Streptophyta; Magnoliopsida; Poales; Poaceae. The record is from RNAcentral.